Myodes glareolus (Bank vole) is the source of this 2102-nucleotide non-coding RNA. Lineage: Eukaryota; Metazoa; Chordata; Mammalia; Rodentia; Cricetidae. The record is from RefSeq and is a predicted model, not a curated record.
GCCGGCACCGCCGGGAGGGGACCCCAGGGAACAUGCCCGAGCGGUUGGCGGGCGCACGGCGCCCACGGGCAGCACAGAGCGAGGAACUUAGAACUGAGAGGGUUGUGUAGAGGAUCUCUUGUUCGAAUUACUGACUCUUCGCCUUUUUCGUGUCUCUUCUGGAAUUGCGAUCGUCUCCCCCCUUCCUCCUGCAGAUGGUUGCGUCCGUCCCGCCGCUUUCCUUCGCCCGCAUUCCAGAGCACGGCGAGGGGCGGGGAUCCCGGCUCAAGUCCUUGUAGGGGAAUCGCGAAGGGACGCGGGGCCGCACGUGACUGGAUCGGCUCCGCCCCCGAGCGCCGGCGGCGCGGUCCCGGCUGGAAUGCGCCUGUGCAGGAAGUUCGCGUGAAUCAGCGUCUGGGUCAGCACCUCAGGCUCCGCUCGGCGCGGAGAGGGCGUGUGCGAACCAUUUGGAAAGUUGCGAAGUGGCCUUUUAUGGAGUACCUCACUCUCCACGUGGGAGGGAACACUGAGCCUUCAGGGCCCCGUUGUCUCUUUGGUCCAGAUUCUUCCCUCGCCCAAAAAAAGUUCCUUGGAACUUCCUGCAAGAGUCCCCUUUAGCCCCGAUGGUGACUCCUGCUCCACCCAUCGCUCGAGGGUGACUUGGUGAAAUAGGACUAAGUGCCGGACCCAGUUACCCCCCAGGUCUCCUUUACGUGAGUUGGCGGCCAGCGAUGGUUCUGGUUAAAGGGAAAGGGAAAGCCUCCAGGACCGCUUCUGGAGGCUGUACCAGCUCGGACCCAGAAGCAGAUCGCGAUCCAGGGGAGACCAAAGCAGUUCUAGAGUUCCUUCUCAUCUCCAGAGCUCUGUCGCUUGACCCAGGAAAACGAUGGCGCUGUUCUAAAUAAUACGUGUUAAAUAGUCCUAAGACCAGCUCUUUUCUUCAUGGAACUCAUGUGAUAUGGUUUAAAGUUAACUCAGAGGUAAAGCCACUGAAGAAAAUAAAAGCCCUAGUCCUAUAGGUGACAGAAACAAAAUUUCCCUCCCUUCUUUGAUAAUAUGAAUCAUUUUGGAGUGCUAACUAAAAAUACAAAUAAUUGAGUAAUUCAUUCCCAGCUCCCUGAAUCAAGACCGUCAACAGCAGGUUCUGGGGAGUCAAGGGCUUAAGGGGUCUAGCAUGACUUUUUGGGAAAGUUGGGCACACAGCUGGUGGCAAGCCGUGACAGUGCAAAGGAGGACCCAGGAGUCAAACUGUGAGGAAGAGAUCAUAUGACUCUUAUGGAACUUCCCAGCAAGUGGGCUCAGCCCCACUGAAAUCAGUACCUUGGGAAAAGGCUGCGUUGCCAAGCACCUGGACAUCAGAGGUUAAAAACAAAACAGCACCAAAGAAGGGACAUGUCAGAGGUGAGAUAUCAACUCCAAGCACUUCCUUUUGAGAAGAAACUGUUCCAGGUAAGGUAUGCUGGUCAGUUUAUGAGUGAGGACAGAGUAGGUCAGUCACCUUCUAGAUCAAAAGCUGAGAAACUCCAUCUAGAGACAACUUGAGAAGGAAUGCAGCUUUAAAGCCUAGAGGCAUGAAGUGGUUCUUGAAGUCAUUCAAUAAACAGCAAGGCGAGAUGUCAGAUACCCAAGACCCACCCUACCUACAGGCACGCACAUGCACGCAUGCGUGCGCGCACACACAGAGAGACGGAUACACACACAGCAAAUUUAAGCUAGUGGGGAUACAAGCUAGUUACCCUACAAUUGUAGGUUACCCCAACUGCAGCCUUUAAAAAACUCGGUAAUUCACUUAAGAUUUUUCUUAUGUUUAGAUGAUCCACAUUGGAGAGAUAGGGCUUAGAAUUUGGAAAUUUUUAACCACAGGGCCUGUAUCAGUUAUUUUUCUUCCCCUUUCCCAGCAUAACGUUAGAUUUCCCUCUUUAUUUCUCACCUUGUAAAGGUGAGGGACUCUUUUAGAUGUUGCUUUAUGAAGCUCUAACCGGGAAUCAUGUCUUCCUCCUGUGCCACGCCCUUACUGCAUCGUGUCACUGAGUCCACCAUCGUGUAAUUGUCUCUAAGGGCUCUUUUCACUCUGCAGUGUGCUGCGCUGUGCUCGGUGUGCUGCGCUGUGCUCGGUGUGCUGC